RNAcentral lists this long non-coding RNA (248 nucleotides) under Carica papaya (papaya). RNAcentral's name for it is "long non-coding RNA (CPAP_LNC002499)". Lineage: Eukaryota; Viridiplantae; Streptophyta; Magnoliopsida; Brassicales; Caricaceae. The record is from RNAcentral.
UCUUUAACUCCCUACUCUCCCAAUCCACUUGUUUUUUUUUUAACUUUCUUUUCUUUCUUUUUUUCCAUCCCUACUGUUUGAUACCGAGACUCAAUCUCCUCAAGCAGAUUAAGAAUUCUAUCUUCUAUCCCGUUAAAAGAAACACCCCACAUCUUACUAACCUUUAGAAAAUUCUUCUGGACCCUGUUAGAAUAAAAAAAAAUUCUACCCAACUCCUCUAUCAUAAACAUUGGUUCAAAAAGGAAGAA